UACGGAGGGUGCAAACGUUGCUCGGAAUCAUUGGGCGUAAAGCGCACGUAGGUGGCUUGUUAAGUCGGGUGUGAAAUCCCUGGGCUCAACCCAGGAAGUGCACUCGAAACUGGCGAGCUUGAGUACUGAAGAGGGUCGCGGAAUUCCCGGUGUAGAGGUGAAAUUCGUAGAUAUCGGGAGGAACACCAGUGGCGAAGGCGGCGACCUGGGACGGUACUGACGCUGAGGCGCGAAAGCGUGGGGAGCAAACAGG
Molecule: ribosomal RNA, 253 nt
Filed under: uncultured bacterium
Lineage: Bacteria
Description: partial 16S ribosomal RNA
Rfam family: Bacterial small subunit ribosomal RNA
Source: RNAcentral